RNAcentral lists this small RNA (27 nucleotides) under Bombyx mori (domestic silkworm). Its description in RNAcentral is "ovarian small RNA-17949". Lineage: Eukaryota; Metazoa; Arthropoda; Insecta; Lepidoptera; Bombycidae. The record is from RNAcentral.
GUGUCUCUAAGGGUUCACCCAUUGGUA